Molecule: ribosomal RNA, 395 nt
Filed under: uncultured bacterium
Lineage: Bacteria
Description: bacterial SSU rRNA
Rfam family: Bacterial small subunit ribosomal RNA
Source: RNAcentral
GUGUCAGCCGCCGCGGUAAUACGGAGGGUGCGAGCAUUAAUCGGAUUUAUUGGGCGUAAAGGGCGCGUAGGCGGGGACGUAAGUCGGAUGUGAAAUCCCGGGGCUCAACCCCGGAACAGCAUUUGAUACUGCGUUUCUAGAGGGUAGGCGGAGAAAAUGGAAUUCCACAAGUAGCGGUGAAAUGCGUAGAUAUGUGGAAGAACACCGGUGGCGAAAGCGGUUUUCUAGCUUAUACCUGACGCUGAGGCGCGAAAGUAAGGGGAUCAAACAGGAUUAGAUACCCUGGUAGUCCUUACUAUAAACGAUGUAUACUUGGUGUAACCGGACUCAACCCUGGUUGUGCCGUAGCUAACGCGAUAAGUAUACCGCCUGGGGAGUACAGUCGCAAGGCUGAA